GAUGAACGCUGGCGGCGUGCCUAAUACAUGCAAGUCGAACGAGGUCUUCGGACCUAGUGGCGAACGGGUGAGUAACACGUUGGUACCUACCCCGAAGUGGGGAAUAACUGCCCGAAAGGGUGGCUAAUACCGCAUAAUACCGCAAGGUUAAAGCAGUAAUGCGCUUCGGGAGGGGCCUGCGUCCCAUUAGCUAGUUGGUAGGGUAAUGGCCUACCAAGGCGACGAUGGGUAGCUGGAUCGAGAGGUUGACCAGCCACACUGGGACUGAGAUACGGCCCAGACUCCUACGGGAGGCAGCAGUAAGGAAUCUUCCACAAUGGACGAAAGUCUGAUGGAGCAACGCCGCGUGCAGGAUGACGGCCUUCGGGUUGUAAACUGCUUUUAUACGGGAAGAUUAUGACGGUACCGUAUGAAUAAGGACCGGCUAACUACGUGCCAGCCGCCGCAGUAA
This 451-nucleotide ribosomal RNA is filed under the name uncultured bacterium. RNAcentral describes it as "partial 16S ribosomal RNA". It matches the Rfam family "Bacterial small subunit ribosomal RNA", at positions 28 to 523 of the family's 1533-position model. The record is from RNAcentral.